GAGUUUGAUCAUGGCUCAGGAUGAACGCUAGCGAUAGGCUUAACACAUGCAAGUCGAGGGGCAGCGAGGGUAGCAAUACCUGUCGGCGACCGGCGCACGGGUGAGUAACGCGUAUGUAACCUGCCCGCAACAGGGGGAUAACCCGGCGAAAGUCGGACUAAUACCGCAUAAAACAGGGGUCCCGCAUGGGAAUAUUUGUUAAAGAUUUAUCGGUUGCGGAUGGGCAUGCGUACCAUUAGGUAGUUGGUGAGGUAACGGCUCACCAAGCCUUCGAUGGUUAGGGGUUCUGAGAGGAAGGUCCCCCACACUGGUACUGAGACACGGACCAGACUCCUACGGGAGGCAGCAGUGAGGAAUAUUGGUCAAUGGGCGAGAGCCUGAACCAGCCAAGUCGCGUGAAGGAUGACUGCCCUAUGGGUUGUAAACUUCUUUUACAAGGGAAUAAAAUGAGAUACGUGUAUU
RNAcentral lists this ribosomal RNA (462 nucleotides) under Tannerella forsythia. RNAcentral's name for it is "bacterial SSU rRNA". It matches the Rfam family "Bacterial small subunit ribosomal RNA", at positions 9 to 466 of the family's 1533-position model. The record is from RNAcentral. Lineage: Bacteria; Pseudomonadati; Bacteroidota; Bacteroidia; Bacteroidales; Tannerellaceae.